This 253-nucleotide ribosomal RNA is filed under the name uncultured bacterium. Its description in RNAcentral is "partial 16S ribosomal RNA". It matches the Rfam family "Bacterial small subunit ribosomal RNA", at positions 524 to 776 of the family's 1533-position model. The record is from RNAcentral.
UACGAAGGGGGCUAGCGUUGCUCGGAAUUACUGGGCGUAAAGGGCGCGUAGGCGGCGCAUUUAGUCAGGCGUGAAAUUCCUGGGCUUAACCUGGGGACUGCGCUUGAUACGGGUGUGCUAGAGGACGGAAGAGGCUCGCGGAAUUCCCAGUGUAGAGGUGAAAUUCGUAGAUAUCGGGAGGAACACCAGUGGCGAAGGCGACUUCCUGGCCUGUUCUUGACGCUGAGGCGCGAAAGCUAGGGGAGCAAACGGG